AACUUUGUGCAGAGGCAGUAUUGUAGCCAAUGAGGUUUAGCCAAGGCACAAUUACUGUUAGUUGAAAACUUUUCCCAACACAAUCCACCAAAAACUGAACUACAACAUACUAGAAUUUGUGGGAUGCUAUGAAAGCAGUUCUUACAG
Octodon degus (degu) is the source of this 147-nucleotide small nuclear RNA. Its record names the gene U4. It matches the Rfam family "U4 spliceosomal RNA". Rfam says of the family: U4 small nuclear RNA (U4 snRNA) is a component of the major U2-dependent spliceosome. Lineage: Eukaryota; Metazoa; Chordata; Mammalia; Rodentia; Octodontidae. The record is from Ensembl.